CUACGGGGGGCACCAGUGAGGAAUAUUGCACAAUGGGGGGAACCCUGAUGCAGCAACGCCGCGUGGAGGAUGACGCAUUUCGGUGUGUAAACUCCUUUUAUAUGUCAAGAAAAUGACGGUAGCAUAUGAAUAAGCACCGGCUAACUCCGUGCCAGCAGCCGCGGUAAUGCGGAGGGUGCAAGCGUUACUCGGAAUCACUGGGCGUAAAGGACGCGUAGGCGGGUUGGAAAGUCAGGGGUGAAAUCCUACAGCUUAACUGUAGAACUGCACUUGAAACUUCUAAUCUAGAGUAUGGGAGGGGGGGAUGGAAUUAGUGGUGUAGGGGUAAAAUCCGUAGAUAUCACUAGGAAUACCUAAAGCGAAGGCGAUCUCCUGGAACAUUACUGACGCUAAGGCGUGAAAGCGUGGGGAGCAAACAGGAUUAGAUACCCCAGUAGUC
This 439-nucleotide ribosomal RNA is filed under the name uncultured bacterium. RNAcentral's name for it is "partial 16S ribosomal RNA". It matches the Rfam family "Bacterial small subunit ribosomal RNA", at positions 339 to 795 of the family's 1533-position model. The record is from RNAcentral.